RNAcentral lists this ribosomal RNA (801 nucleotides) under Triticum aestivum (bread wheat). Its description in RNAcentral is "partial small subunit ribosomal RNA". The record is from RNAcentral. Lineage: Eukaryota; Viridiplantae; Streptophyta; Magnoliopsida; Poales; Poaceae.
AUGUCGUCCAAUCCAUACAGCUGCUGGCCCGUGUUUGUAAUUCCGCUCAAUCUUCCUCCCGGUGCCCUAAUGCGACGCAAGACCAUGUUCUUGUCGCUCAUCAUUCCGGGGCCUGAUUAUCCGGGGAAGCAAUUGGGUGUGUUUAUGCAGCCGCUGGUGGAUGCUUUGCACCAUUCUUGGUACUUUCCGACGUUGACAUACGACCGGGAUCUGCAGAGAAAUUUCUUGAUGAAAGUUUGGUUGCACUAUUGCAUGCAUGACUUUCCCGGCUAUGCUCUAUUCUGCGGAUGGUGUACAAGUGGGAAGAUGCCAUGCCCAGUGUGCAUGCAGGCUCUGCGAAUGAUUUGGCUGAGUAAGGGUGGCAAGUAUGUAGCCUUUGACCUGCAUCGACAGUUCCUCCCUCCAGAUCAUCCAGAUAGGGAAGACAAGAAGAACUUCACGAAAGGCCGGGUUGUUCAUGAAGUAACCGAGAUGCAGCACGCUUUUCAGGAAAUGGCGGCCGGCAGGUGUCCUCAAUGGCCAUCAGCAGAGGGUCCUCCAGCACAACCAGUGCUGCUGACCUUUGAGGAGUUUGCGGCACAGAACGUUGGCCCCUCGCCGGGAACCGGUGCAUCUAAUGUUGGAGGUGGUCUUCGCAACACUCCCGAGACACGGAGCCCGACCACUCCGAUCCACGGAGACGGAGGCGGAGGCGGACGUAGAGGCGGUCUUGGCGGUAGCGCUGCCGCUAGCAGUGACGACCUUGGCUUCGGCGGUCUUGGCGGUGACGACCUCCGCGUUGCGCGACGUCCUGGCGCUUAA